Melospiza melodia melodia is the source of this 1237-nucleotide long non-coding RNA. RefSeq lists it as uncharacterized. The transcript has 6 exons. Lineage: Eukaryota; Metazoa; Chordata; Aves; Passeriformes; Passerellidae. The record is from RefSeq and is a predicted model, not a curated record.
CUCUGAGAGAGGGGAUGAGGAGCAGCUUCUUGCAGUGUGUAAAGAGCUGGCAGAGUAAUUAUUGAAGGUUCAAGGAUUGUAAGAGUUUCAUCCUUAAGAGCUGAAUAAACUGUCAUUUCACAUGAUGUUGAAGAAACAGAAAAAGGAAUGUCAAUCUUUUCCUCACUCCACAGAUCUUAGGGCUGAUUUCCUCCAGUUACAGAUAUGAUCCACAGAUACUGAAAAACACUAUUGUGAUGCUGGAUGAAAAUCAGGCAUGUGAAAAUAUGAAAAUGUCUGCUCUUCACUGAAGAUAUUUUCCCAUGUUUGUUUCAGCCUCCUCCAUACUAAUACUAAUUAGUCUCUAAAUGAAUGAACCUGGUGACUGAGCUUGCAGCCGUAUAAGCAAAGGUCUGGACAUCCUUGGACAUCCUUGUGCCCCUCUGCUGCCCAGAGCCUGCUGGGUUUUCCAUGUCUGUAUCCAGAACCACAGCAGAGAAUCACUGCAUUCCACUGCUUUCAGCUUAUUGCACCACAGCUGAUUCUGUUUUCAAAAAUUCAGUUCAGGUGAUGCAUCAGGAAACUCCGGGUUUUUUUCUGUGAAGAAACCUUCCAGCUGUAUAUCACCUCAAUUAAGCAGCUCUGAAGCUCUUAUCUUAAUCCCUGCACUGAUAAAACAGUAAUUGUUCUGCAAGACUACAAGGGGAACCGUGACUCCAGAAAGGACAUGGUGUUCCAAUUGAUCUCAAUUACUCUAAUGUAACUAAUUCUUUUGUCCACCAUCUAAAUUUAAUGCUUCUGCCUCCCUGAGGAUUUGUCACAAGAUCUCCCACAUUAUUGGGUUUGUGCUGACCUGUCACUGCCUAGUCUGCAUUCUCAACCAAGCCAAAAUAAUUGCCUUCAUUUACCUGACAAGUCUUUUGAGCCCUCAAUUCAUCACAGUGUUUUAAGUGUUUCAAUUAGUUACACUAAUGAAUCAUUAACUCAGUGUGCCUUCAAAAGGCCAGAUUUUACCUUCUACCUGGUUAUGGGGGAUUUUAACAGAGACAUAAAAAGCUAAACUUCUGCUCUGAGUGAGCACUAUUGACUCAUAACUCAUUAAGAUUUUAUUUUGGCAUCUCCAGCCUUCAGCAGGGUUGCUUGACGUGUAUCAUGAAGAAAAUAAAAAUUUGACCAUCAGCUUAAAUUGUCCUGAUAAAGUAAAAGCUUGCCUAAUGGCAACUAGUUUGUUCUUUUCUAUUUGCAGUGUAUCAGACAA